AGUGAACGCUGGCGGUAGGCCUAACACAUGCAAGUCGAACGGCAGCACAGUAAGAGCUUGCUCUUACGGGUGGCGAGUGGCGGACGGGUGAGGAAUACAUCGGAAUCUACUUUUUCGUGGGGGAUAACGUAGGGAAACUUACGCUAAUACCGCAUACGACCUACGGGUGAAAGCAGGGGAUCUUCGGACCUUGCGCGAUUGAAUGAGCCGAUGUCGGAUUAGCUAGUUGGCGGGGUAAAGGCCCACCAAGGCGACGAUCCGUAGCUGGUCUGAGAGGAUGAUCAGCCACACUGGAGCUGAGACACGGUCCAGCCUCCUACGGGCGGCAGCCGUGGGGAAUAUUGGACAGUGGGCGCAAGCCUGAUCCAGCCAUACCGCGUGGGUGGAGAAGGCCUUCGGGUUGUAAAGCCCUUUUGUUGGGAAAGAAAAGCAGCAGGUUAAUACCCCGCUGUUCUGACGGUACCCAAAGAAUAAGCACCGGCUAACUUCGUG
This 492-nucleotide ribosomal RNA is filed under the name uncultured bacterium. RNAcentral's name for it is "partial 16S ribosomal RNA". It matches the Rfam family "Bacterial small subunit ribosomal RNA", at positions 29 to 507 of the family's 1533-position model. The record is from RNAcentral.